Molecule: ribosomal RNA, 468 nt
Filed under: uncultured bacterium
Lineage: Bacteria
Description: partial 16S ribosomal RNA
Rfam family: Bacterial small subunit ribosomal RNA
Source: RNAcentral
GACGAACGCUGGCGGCGUGCUUAACACAUGCAAGUCGAACGGAAAGGCCCUGCUUUUGUGGGGUGCUCGAGUGGCGAACGGGUGAGUAACACGUGAGUAACCUGCCCUUGACUUUGGGAUAACUUCAGGAAACUGGGGCUAAUACCGGAUAGGAGCUCCUGCUGCACGGUGGGGGUUGGAAAGUUUCGGCGGUUGGGGAUGGACUCGCGGCUUAUCAGCUUGUUGGUGGGGUAGUGGCUUACCAAGGCUUUGACGGGUAGCCGGCCUGAGAGGGUGACCGGCCACAUUGGGACUGAGAUACGGCCCAGACUCCUACGGGAGGCAGCAGUGGGGAAUAUUACACAAUGGGCGGAAGCCUGAUGCAGCAACGCCGCGUGCGGGAUGACGGCCUUCGGGUUGUAAACCGCUUUCGCCUGUGACGAAGCGUGAGUGACGGUAAUGGGUAAAGAAGCACCGGCUAACUACGUG